Non-coding RNA from Glossina brevipalpis, 69 nucleotides. Lineage: Eukaryota; Metazoa; Arthropoda; Insecta; Diptera; Glossinidae. The record is from Rfam.
GUACGUAGGCGCCAUGAAUGGUGAAUCGUGCAUGCUAUUGGUACGGGUCGGUAGUAUCUUUGGGCGAUU